This 1078-nucleotide ribosomal RNA is filed under the name Salmonella enterica. RNAcentral describes it as "partial 23S ribosomal RNA". It matches the Rfam family "Bacterial large subunit ribosomal RNA", at positions 109 to 1230 of the family's 2925-position model. The record is from RNAcentral. Lineage: Bacteria; Pseudomonadati; Pseudomonadota; Gammaproteobacteria; Enterobacterales; Enterobacteriaceae.
GAUACCCGAAUGGGGAAACCCAGUGUGACUCGUCACACUAUCAUUAACUGAAUCCAUAGGUUAAUGAGGCGAACCGGGGGAACUGAAACAUCUAAGUACCCCGAGGAAAAGAAAUCAACCGAGAUUCCCCCAGUAGCGGCGAGCGAACGGGGAGGAGCCCAGAGCCUGAAUCAGCAUGUGUGUUAGUGGAAGCGUCUGGAAAGGCGCGCGAUACAGGGUGACAGCCCCGUACACAAAAGCGCAUGUGCUGUGAGCUCGAUGAGUAGGGCGGGACACGUGGUAUCCUGUCUGAAUAUGGGGGGACCAUCCUCCAAGGCUAAAUACUCCUGACUGACCGAUAGUGAACCAGUACCGUGAGGGAAAGGCGAAAAGAACCCCGGCGAGGGGAGUGAAAAAGAACCUGAAACCGUGUACGUACAAGCAGUGGGAGCACCCUUUGGGUGUGACUGCGUACCUUUUGUAUAAUGGGUCAGCGACUUAUAUUCUGUAGCAAGGUUAACCGAAUAGGGGAGCCGGAGGGAAACCGAGUCUUAACCGGGCGUUAAGUUGCAGGGUAUAGACCCGAAACCCGGUGAUCUAGCCAUGGGCAGGUUGAAGGUUGGGUAACACUAACUGGAGGACCGAACCGACUAAUGUUGAAAAAUUAGCGGAUGACCUGUGGCUGGGGGUGAAAGGCCAAUCAAACCGGGAGAUAGCUGGUUCUCCCCGAAAGCUAUUUAGGUAGCGCCUCGUGAAUUCAUCUCCGGGGGUAGAGCACUGUUUCGGCUAGGGGGCCAUCCCGGCUUACCAACCCGAUGCAAACUGCGAAUACCGGAGAAUGUUAUCACGGGAGACACACGGCGGGUGCUAACGUCCGUCGUGAAGAGGGAAACAACCCAGACCGCCAGCUAAGGUCCCAAAGUCAUGGUUAAGUGGGAAACGAUGUGGGAAGGCCCAGACAGCCAGGAUGUUGGCUUAGAAGCAGCCAUCAUUUAAAGAAAGCGUAAUAGCUCACUGGUCGAGUCGGCCUGCGCGGAAGAUGUAACGGGGCUAAACCAUGCACCGAAGCUGCGGCAGCGACACUGUGUGUUGUUGGGUA